CGGGUGAGUAACGCGUGAGGAACCUGCCUCAAAGAGGGGGACAACAGUUGGAAACGACUGCUAAUACCGCAUAAGCCCACGGCUCGGCAUCGAGCAGAGGGAAAAAGAGCAAUCCGCUUUGAGAUGGCCUCGCGUCCGAUUAGCUAGUUGGUGAGGUAACGGCCCACCAAGGCGACGAUCGGUAGCCGGACUGAGAGGUUGAACGGCCACAUUGGGACUGAGACACGGCCCAG
Molecule: ribosomal RNA, 233 nt
Filed under: uncultured bacterium
Lineage: Bacteria
Description: partial 16S ribosomal RNA
Rfam family: Bacterial small subunit ribosomal RNA
Source: RNAcentral